This 253-nucleotide ribosomal RNA is filed under the name uncultured bacterium. RNAcentral describes it as "partial 16S ribosomal RNA". It matches the Rfam family "Bacterial small subunit ribosomal RNA", at positions 524 to 776 of the family's 1533-position model. The record is from RNAcentral.
CACGUAGGGCGCAAGCGUUGUCCGGAAUUAUUGGGCGUAAAGAGCUCGUAGGCGGACUGUCACGUCUGCUGUGAAAAGCUGGGGCUUAACCCUGGCCUUGCAGUGGAUACGGGCAGACUAGAGGUAGGUAGGGGAGAAUGGAAUUCCCGGUGUAGCGGUGAAAUGCGCAGAUAUCGGGAGGAACACCGGUGGCGAAGGCGGUGCUCUGGGCCUUACCUGACGCUGAGGAGCGAAAGCGUGGGGAGCGAACAGG